This 40175-nucleotide long non-coding RNA is filed under the name Gossypium barbadense (sea-island cotton). RNAcentral's name for it is "long non-coding RNA (GBAR_LNC017048)". Lineage: Eukaryota; Viridiplantae; Streptophyta; Magnoliopsida; Malvales; Malvaceae. The record is from RNAcentral.
GUCAGAAAAGAAAAAAACAACAACAAGGGAAUAAACCCUAAACGAUGCCCCUCCCUUCUCCGUCGCCUUGAAAGCCAGAACUCUCCUCUCUCUCGUUCCGAUUCGGACAGAGUAGAGGAUGGCUCCAAUGGCGCGCAAAGGUAAGAUUCUUCUUCCCUUUUCUCUUUUAUUUUGUAUAUAUUCUAUUACAUAUAAUUAAUAGCAAACAGAAAAGGAAAGAAAAGCAACCGAAAAAAAGAAUAGUAGAGAGAAAGAAGAAAACCUUCUCUUUUUUUUUGUAUUGAUCUUUUUUUGUUUUUGAUACAGUCUCUGUGUGUUCCUUCGUUCGGUUUACAAUCGAUUUUAUAUCGAAACUACAAAAUAAAGAAAAAAGAGAAAAAUCUCAUUCUUUUUCGCUAUUUUAUCUUCUUCCUUUUUUGCUGCUUUGGGCUUGUUGUUUGCUGCAGUAUGGGUACGGAGACGCGUGACGUGGCUCGGCGCGUACGAAGGCAGAGGCUAGCGUGGAGCGGCUCGGAGGCGUGGCUCGUGGGGCCGAGGGAAAACCCUGGUGGCUGCGGCGCUGGAGGCAUUCUGGAAACCCUCGGGGUUUCUGAAAAUUAUUCAAAUCGGGCCAUAGUGUAUUGGGCCUAGGGUUUUGGGUAUGGUUGUAUUUGGGUUUGAUUUUGGGCUAGUAAUUUAGGUUUAGGUUUGGGCCGUGUUGAUUUGGUCUGUACGAUUUUUGGCUUGUAACUAUGGACUGAUAUUAUUUGUAAAUGGACUUUUACUAUUUUUACUUUUAUGUUGAUUUUAUUUAUUUUUAGUGGGCCCGGGUCAAAAUUGGGCAUUACAAUCUUUAUUAAAUUGGUUGAUGUUUGUGAACUCAAGUGGCCCAAACCAUUUUUCCCCAAAUGACUUCAAUAUAGAUAUUCCCUUAGGGGUCUGGGUUCAUAAGCACACUCUUGAGAAUACAGAGCCAUUAGAAAGUAAUUGGUUAGGUUGAAAUAGGUUAAUUGCAUGUGAACUUGAUCCAACUUUAUAUUAAAAUUUGUUGAAGUAGAUUUUGGGGUGUAUAAGAAAGGAAAGAACCAAUUUUUGUAUUGCGAAGUUAAUCCAGAAUACUAAAUAAUCCCUACAAAAUAUAUAUAGACAACUUCAGUUCUGCACUUCCAAAAAUGGAUUUAAUUCAACUGAUUUUACCAUUCCAUGGGAUUUCAUGCAAAUUGGGAAUAGAGUUAAAAAGGGCAGGCAUUCUCAUUUAACUUUGUUGACCCUAAAAUUUACACACAUAAACACUAAUUCCAUGUCGGUUAAUUUGGUUGUGGAUAAAAAAAAAGAGCAGUAUUAAAAAGAGUUUUUAUUAUUUAUUUCAAGAAAAAAGCAAAAAUCCUACUUUUUCUUCCUUUUCUCCGGGACCCAUGUGAAUGAAAAAACCCUCACUUUUUAUUAAAUACGUAUAUAUAUUUGUGUAAUCACAUGCAAGCUUUGAUGUAGUUCUCGUGAAAAUGGAGUUUUCUAGUUUAUGAGUGUUAAUGUUGGCUCAAAAACGAUCACACUUGGAAAUUCGUAUGGUAGGAGUAGACCAUCUCGUGAGUAACCAUAAAAACCUGAUCCAACAAUAACUUUCAUCAAGGCAUCCCAAGUGUCAUUACAUUCCUAAAACUGCCUAGUUCUCCACUUUACCUGACUUCACUCAUUCUCGGUAGCUUUUCUUCCAUUUUAUACUUUAACAUUGGAUGUAGUUAAAACUACCAGCCGCCUCCCUCUGCCACUUUACUUAUUCCUAUUUAACCAUUUUAGUUUAAAUUAUUUUAAAUUUCAAACCAAGUUAUUAAUGAGUCUGGAACAGCUGUUUUUCAUUAGGUUUAAAUCAUUUCGAGUUAUUUUAAGUUAUUUAAUUUGAGUUUACAUCUUUUCAAAUUAUUUGUUAGAUAAUUUUGGGUGCAAAUCAUUUUAAAUUAUUUGUAGAGUAACUUUUUGUUCAUAUUAUUUCAAUUAUGAAUUAACUUUUUAUGAUUAAAUCGAGGGUGAAAAUCUACAUUUUUCCGGACCUAUCUCUCUAUUUCUCUCUCUUAUUAAUUGCAAUUUUGAGGCCGCGUUAAUAGUUUCAGCAGUCCAUGUACAUUUCCCCAAAGACUUCUAGAGAAAAAUUACAGCAUCUAUAUAUAACUUAAAUCACUCCAAUAAAUAACUCCAUUAUUUUUGGGUUUCCCCCAUGGCACCGAAUAAAGAAAACAACACAGCUAACUCCCAAACUCACCCCAACAAUGGUACUGUCAACAAGCCUCGACGUCUUUCAAUGGAAAGCCUCCAGAGAACGAUAUCUGAUAUAUCGUUUGAGCUAACCAAAGAAGCCAUCGACGCAACGCAGCUUCCGUCCAUAUCCGAAGUCGAGGAGGCCAGCUGCGAAUGCUGCGGCAUGUCCGAGGAGUGCACUCCCGAGUACAUCAACCAAGUCCGUGACAAGUUCUCAGGGAAACUGGUGUGUGGGCUUUGUGCGGAAGCAAUCAACGAAGAGGUCGUGAAAAACGGAGGCAAAAGGGAAGAAGCUUUGAACGAGCAUAUGAGUGCUUGUGUGAGGUUCAACCGGUUCGGUCGGACUCACCCAGUGUUGUACCAAGCCGAGGCAAUGAGAGAAAUAUUGAAGAAGAGCUCGGGAGUUCGGGCUAAGUCAAUGAGUCCCAGAGACAAAAGCGGUCCCAAGAAGGGUGGUAUCGCGAGGAGCUCGAGUUGUCUGCCGGCUUUCGCCAAGGAGAUUCGUGACCGAGCAAUGGUGAACUAGGGGUCUUUGUAUGAUAUAUAAUAUUAUACGUAUACUAAAACUUAAAAUCGAAAGAUUUAAGUUUUAGAUUGGUAGGAAAAAAGUAACUCGUUAUAUGAUAGUGGGACGUUGUAGGCAUAAUUUGUAACUGUGUUGUGAAUAUGUUUUAUUGUAAUUAUCGUAUUUCUUAUUAUAUGUAUACUUUUUUGUUUUUAAAUAUAUAUUUUGUUGUUUGAUUAGUUAUAUUAUAUCUCCCAAAAGAUAAUGAAUAUGCAAUUUAAUAAUUUCAUAGAGAUAUGAUUAAAGAGGUAAUUGCUUUAAACAUCUAUGAUUUCAAUUUAAUUUUGACUCUUAAACUUUAAAACAUUCUAAUUGUAUCUUCAAACUAUUGAUUUUAUAUUAAUAAACUACUUUCGUUGUUAAAAUUAAUUUAACUGUUAAAUGAGAUGUCAGGUCUUAUAUAAUAUAAUUUAAUGGAUGUUGUAAAAAGUUUGGUUUCGAGUUUUUCAAAUUUUUUAUAGAAACUAUGUUCACUCUAUCUUUUUUUCUAUUUUGUUUUAUUUUUAGUUUUAAAUUUUAAAAGUUAUGCGACAAUAUUUCACUUUUCUUUAAAAAUUUUAUUUUAAAUUAUGUCAUAUAAAAUUUUAAAUAUUAUUUAAUAAUUAAAUUAAUAGUUUUAAUAAUUAAAAAUUUUGAUUGAUAUGACAUCUAUAACUGUACGAAGAGAAUGGCGAAUGGAACAAUUAAGAGUAACCAUAACUAUAUUUAGAAAAAAAAUCAGCCUGAUAAACAAAUAUGAGUAAAUAAAUUCGAAUAAUUCUUUCAAAUUAAAAAAGAAAUCCAUUAAAAUUGGUAUGGCGGAAUUUGAGUGAAGCUGAAGCAAGAAUCUGUUUCUUUGAACCUUCAUUGGGGGUCAUAAAUCAUGGAAAAGUCUCAUUGGCCCAAGAAAACAUGAAUCUAAGACCUGACAUGGCAUUUGACGGAGUGUGGCCGAAAAAAGACAAAAAAAAAAGGCUGAGAUUGGUCCACACAGUCAAAUUAUUUUCAAAAUUUGGAGUUUUUGGGGUUUUUUUAAUAAAUAACCUAAAAAAAUUAUGAAAAUAUCUUAGUAUUAGAUUAUUUAUAAAAAUAACAUUGUUUCAAUAGUAAAAUGGGUGCCUCAACUUUCCAUGGCGUACCACCCUAAAAAGUAACUCAAUCAUUGUUUUAUGAUUACAAAAAUAAUCAAAUGAAAAACAAUUAUUUUUUUUGGUGCCGUCACUUCCCAAGACGGCACCUAUAUAAAUAUUUGUAUUUUUAUGCGUACUUCCACUAUUAAACAAAAAAAAUAUUUUUUUAUUAUUUUUGGUGUCGCCUCCUUUAAUGGAGGCACAAAGUUAGAUUAAAAAAAUUGUUUUCUGGUGUUGCCUCCUUCCAUGGAGUGACCAAUAUUUGUAAAAAAAAAAUUUUGUUGAUGACUACAUGAGAUGUGGCGGCACCAAUAUUAUUUUUGAAAUUUUUUUGUCCCGCCACUUUAUGUGCUGUCACAAAAAAUGGUAAAAAAAAUUCUCUUGGUCCCUACUAAAGAUGUGGUGGCACCAGUAUAUUUUUUUUGAAUUUUUUCCCACCACUUCAUCAUAUAAAGUCACUAAAAUGGAUAAAAAAUUUAUUUCCCAGGUUCUUACACCAGAUGUGGUGGCACCAGGUAAAUUUCUUUUAAUUUUUAGGUGUCACUUGUAAAAAUAGCGGCACCAAAAUCAAUGUUAUAUAAGCCCCCAUUCUGGGCAUGGUUUAUUAUAUGUGCUUAUUGCUAAUUGCUAAAGAGAAAAGAAAAAAAAAAAGCAAUCCUUUUUUUUGUUGGAGUGUGCAGCAUAAAAAUUGUAUAAAAAAUGAAUAACCAAAUUAUUGUUUAUGUUAAUUUUGAUGGGUCAUUUUAGAAUGAGCGAUUAGUUGUGUAUUUGAAUAUCGUCAGAAGGUUGGAAUGAGGUUCGAUAAAAAUAUAGGGGGUGUAAAAAAUGAAAGAAAUGAUUGGUAUCACAAUAGCUCGACGUUGUGGGAGGAAAAUGUCCCAACUAUUCUACAAAUUUUUUUUCCUUCAAUCCGUUGAAAUUUCAACAGAUGAAACUUGUAGACGAAGAAGACUUUUUACAAUGGUGGGACUUUAUUGCUUGAAUGGGGACAACAACACUGAACCAAUUCCAUUGUUUGCCUAGUUAGUUGACCCUGAGCCCGUUUAAAAUGUCGUUCCAUUAAGUCAACACCAUGGGUUUGACUUUGAUCUCAAUGUUAGAUGGACAAAACAAUCGUGUUAUGGAAGGCCAUCAACAGGGCUGAAAAUACAUAGUAUGGGUCGACAACGUAUACUUACUCAAUUUCGACCAGCCAUUUAAAGAUACAUCUUGAGGUGAGGGGCACUGAUGCAAACGAUGAAGAAGAGUCCGAUAAUGAUGUUCAUUUUCACCACGAUGGUGAAGAAUAUAGUGACCUUGAUCAAGAUGAAGUCUCGGAUAAUAUCAACAAUGAAGGCGUAGAGGAAUGUGAAAAUCUACAACCCUUUUCGGUUGGGCACUCGAGUCGUGAGAUUAUUUUACGAAAUGACCCUAGGGCAGACAUGUUGAGUGUUGACCCCGAUGCAACAUCAAUAUUUAAGUUCCUCGAUGCAACAUCAACCUGCUCAUUGGUUGAUGGCAUCUUCAGAAACGAAAGAUUUAUUCGUAAGGCAACAAUUCCCAAAUAAGCAGGACUACUUACAUGCCAUCAAGCGGUACAACAUGAAGGUGUCACUGGACUACAAAGUCAUCAAGCUGACACUGACAUUAUAUGUUGGACAAUUUUGGAAGUCUGGGGAAGGUUGCCAAUAGCAGAUUCGAGUUGCAUUGGGACAGAGGACUCAACAACGGUGCAUUCAGAAACUUGAAGAGCCCCAUACAUGCACGUCCGCACGUAUGACACAAGAUCAUCACAAACUAGAUGCGAAAACAAUCUACAACUACACCAUGUCGGUGGUGAAAGACAUGCGUACCAUACAAGAGUCUAUCAUCAUUGUUGAAAUGUAAGCCUUGUUCCAAUAUCGGGUGUCGUAUAGCAAAGCAUGGUGGGCGAAACAGAUGGCGAUGGAGCAGUUGUAUGGUGAUUGGGAUGCGUCGUACAAUGAACUUUAAGGAUGGAUAGUCACGAUGCAACAAUACAUGUCAGGUACUAUCGUGUAGUUACAAACGCGAUCUUAUUAUAACACAGAUGGCUAACAUCAACCGGGGAGAAGAGUUUUUCAUCAGAUAUUCUGGACAUUCGAUCCAUGCGUUUGGACAUUUGUACACUACAAGCCGCUUGUGCAAGUUGACGAUACCUGAUUAUAUGGAAAAUAUACCCAGAUACUUCUUAUUGCGGUUGCACAAGACAGGAAUUGGAAUGUCUUACCGAUUGCGUUUGCGAUCGUAAAAUAAGAGGACAUGAAAUCGUGGGAAUUUGUAUUAAUAAACUUGUAGAGUCAUGUUGUUAGAGAAGACGACAUUUGUAUUAUCUCUAAUAGAUUGAAUGGGCUGAUCGUUGUGAUUCAACAAUACGGGGUUCUGUAGAGAUCCGUCUACUGUAUCUGUCACAUCGCGGUUAAUUUUUACCAAAAGUUCAAGAAUACAGACUUGCGUAAAGAUUCGGUGAAAAUAGGUAAAUUACCGAAUCACAUUAUUAUUUAAAUAUCUUGAAUACAUUUGGGGUAUAUAAUGAAAAUGUAAUAUGUCAUAUCUUAAUACAUAUGUAGGGUACGAGCGAGAUAGAACCACAUCGUUUCAGGGAAAUAAUGGCGAGGCUUGAGGCUGAUAUGCACGACAUGAUUAAUCCUUCUUUUUAGGAAUUUCUGAGUACCAUGGAGCUUUAGAAAUGGGCUCAAAGUCUCGAUUAUAGGUCUCGAUAUGACCAUACGACCACCAACCUCUUGGAGGGGAUUAACUCUGUCUUGAAGUGUACAUAUCAUCUACCAAUUUCUGUAGUUUUCUCAGCUACGUUCUACAAGCUCGCAACAUUGAUGCUGAGAAUGAGACUGAGACAACCGAAGCAGUUGGAGGCAGGAUAUGUGUUCAUGGAGCAUGUACAAAAGACAAUGGAUGUGAACACCUAAAAAGCAAGGUUGAUGAAUGUAGAACUAUAUUCACGUCACAUGAAAUUUUUUUGGGUAACUGAACACAUCAGUUGUCGAGAUGGUGUACUGGUUAAGUCUUAUGGUGUUGAUCUCCGAUAGAGGCAGUGUUAGUGUGUAAUGUUCUAGGCCCUUCGAUAUCUGUGCACACACGUUAUUGCUGCAUGUGUAUGGGCCAAUGUGGAUUGUCAACAAUAUAUCAAUGACGUCUACAUGUUGGAACGUACAUUACGCAUUUGAUGUAACAACUUUUUUAUGUUGUGGGAUGUCACGACAUAGGAAGUGCCCCUUCCUGAGUCUGAGUUGAUCUCGGACAAAAGGCUUCGUAGGAAACCCAAAGGUCAACCGCAGGUCACUCGAAUUCACAAUGACAUGGACAUAAGAGAGUCGUUGGGACAAAAACAUUGUUGAAUUUGCAGAAUUGUCGGUCACAAUCGGAACAAGUGUCCAUAUCAAAACUACCAUCCCGGACAAUCCUCAAGGUCGGAGGGUUUAUAAAAAUUGAAGAGCCCCAUUCAUUCAAAUUAAAAUUAAAACAUAUGAUAAUAAUUUAUUUAUCACUUAAUGCAUUUAAUCCGAUUACUGCACUUCUUACACAUUUUUUUAAGAGUUUUAUUCUUUCUUUUGUUUGGGGUCAUUGCAAAAUUAAAAUCUUGUUCAAUUUAUGAUAUCCAUAAAAUUAAUUAAUUAUAGAUGACCGUCCACUUAAUACAUAAUUUAUGGAAAUUAAUGUCAUUCUAUUCAAGUAUUAACACAAAUUACAUACAAUAUUUCACCAAUAACUUUUCCACACUCAAAAUACAUUCAAGCUUGGAGUUGUUCCCUAGGUGUGCUGUGGGGUGUACCGUUGAGGUGGCAUUCUUUACCGUCGGAGGUGAAGGUCGUUAUCAUCAUUCUCCUCGUGUUGCCUCAAACCUUGGGGUGUAUUAAACAAAUCUGAGAAAUCAAAUCCGCCUAAUGAUUGGUAUUCAAAGGUGUAGUAUAUUGGGUGUCCGAGGGUGCCAAUGGAAAUAUAUCCUCUAUCAUUAUUGAUUGUGGUUGCCCAAAAUUACUAUCACAACCACCCAUCUCCGGGCUAUAAGGGUCACAACUAGAAACUUGCAUCUUAGGACGAUAAGAAUUGGCCUCGGACUGUGAAUGUAGUUGCAAAUGUUUAGGAUCAGGGUCGACAUUGGGGUGUGCUUGGGUAGCAAGGUUUCGAUGGCCUCGACGACGACGUGGUUGAUUCGAUCCACGCCGGUGUAUGUGUCUCGGGACUACCAUCAGUUUCCCUCCAAAUAGAUAUAGCACCCCGUUCUCCAAGUACUAUCAUUGGUACUCAAUAGAGGGGCUGAAGUCAAACAAACACGUUUCCAAUCAAGGCCUACACUGCAACCGAGCAUUUCGAAAUACGAUAAAUUGUUAAUGCUCGACUGCCUAAUUCUUUGACUCCUUUCCCCUCUUAUUGAUACCAUGGACAGUGUCGAAGAUGAUGGGGUUGUCCAGAACAUGUUUGCAGCCGAAUUGCUGAAGAACUUGAUCACCGUUAUACCACUCAAUGGUUGAGAAAUUCAAUACCGGAGCAUUGAUGCACCACACGGCUGAAUGUGCAUGAGCCCACUACGGAAUAACGACGACAAUGUCCGGAGCGGAAUAAGGCAUCCACAAAAACUGCAAAUAUUUAACAUAGUUACACAAACUUAAAGAAAUGAUGUAAUCAAUUAAAAAUCAUGAUACGAUCUUGAUUGAAAUUUUUUAUAAAAAUCCCACCUCCUCUCUGGAGCAAGCCUUGACCAUUUGAUGAUACACCCCAAGCUGUACGAACCUUCCUAUAGCGAGGCACGUAGACCAUCUACCAACAAAAAAAUUAACAAAUAAAUUAAUGCAAAAAAUAUUGAAUUGUUGAUUGGGUUAUUCUUGAUAUUUUACUUACCUAUUUACAAUUGGCUACACUGGUGGUUGAUGGCUCAUUGAUGUGAAAAACGACAUCCUAUAAAUGCCCAUUAUUGCAACAGUAUUAGACAACCACCUAUUUCUUGUGUAUCGUGCUUUGUAGCCCCUCAUAGCUCACGGUACAAUGUUGCCAAUACUAUCAACCCUCAACUAUACUCCCAAACGGCGCGUAAAUCUGACAAUAGGGGUAAGUACAUAAUGUGGACUCUAUUAUUGUUUACGUCUGGCAUCAAUACCCCCUAUCAGUUGCAUAGUAAAUGCUUGAGCAGCGCACAUAAGCUCUAACUCUGCGGCACUAUUCAAUACAUUUUCAAAAUUUUGUUUUAACCAGCAACAUUUCAAACUGGUAAAUUUAUUAUCCCCACAACCCAACGAUCGACCAAGCAAACAGUCGCACAAAAUUGCAGGUUUGGCCACCUUACUGAAACCAACGAUUGCAUAACAAUCCACUGGUAGCUCGAGUUGUAGUGCGACGUCCUUGAGCGUGAUGGUGCACUCCCCACACAGUAAAUGGAAUGUGUGGGUCUCUGGCCACCACCUUUCAACCAAUGCGGAUAUUAAGUUAGGCCGCGACUCAAACAUCUCGAUUAAACCAACUGAUCCAAAUCUAACCAUUUCCAACUAUGGCAUUAUACGGUUGUCAGGAUGAUAGCUCGACCCAUAGCUACGCACCCUUAAAACGCGAUACUCAUGCUGUCAAUUAAAAAAAAUGAUCAACUAAAAAAUAAUUUUGCAGAUUUAGCAUUUCAACUUCUCAGUAAGACAUAAUUAACUCUUUUACCUUAUUGAUCUUUCGUACGUGUGAUCGUUUGAUUUGAUAAGUGUACUCAUACCUUAAAUACAAAAAACUGAUAUAACUUAAAUAUAAAAUAAUAAAUAAAUGAAUAUAACAUAUCAAUUAUAUUAAUAAACUCAAAGAACCAAUUAUAAAAAAUAUGCUCAUACCUUAAAUACAAAAAACCGGUAUAACUUAAACACGAAAUAAUAAAUAAAUUAAUAUAACAUACAAUUAUAUUAAUAAACAAAAUUCCCCAAACAUUAAAUAAACUCAACUAACCAAUUAUAAAAAAUAUGCUCAUACCUUAAAUACGAAAAGAUUCUCCAAAAACAUUAAUAAAAAAAUUUAACAAACCUAAAUACAAACUUAAAGCUAAUAAAACACAACAGCAAAAAAUAACAUUUCAAGUAAAUAUGAAAAACUAAUAUAAUAUGCCACAAAAACAUUAAUAAAACAAAUUAAUCAUACUUUCAAUACAAACCUAAAACUAAAAAAAUACAAUAUGGGGGUACCAUUUCCAUUUCAUUAGGGAGGGAAGAAGAGAAAAGAAAUAAAGACGGAUAGGCUUGUGACCCGUCAAUCUUUUUUUAUUUUAUUUUAUUCAUUUCUUCAUUUUCCCUUACAUAACAAGUAAUUUUUUAGUCACUCACUAACAUCUUCUUAUUAAUUCGUUUUUUUAUUUUUAUUAAUACAUCAACAUUUUCAAUUAAAAUUUCAUAUUUUUUCCAUUUCCAAAUAUUAUUUUUUUCCUCAAUCCUAUUAUUAUAUUCAAAUUUCUUUAUUUAACUCCCAAUCAUAUAUAUAUAUUGUAUAUUUGUUCUUUUUUCACUAUUUUUCUUUUGAUUAAAUGAAAUCUUACAUUUUUUUAAAGUAAAAAAAUAAUUGUUAAAGCAAACAUAUUUUUAUUUCUGAAUAACAUUUCAAAUAUUACAAUAAUGAUAAAACUUCAAUUGAAAUCAUCAUAUUAUAGAGUUGAUAAUCUAGUAAAAUCAAUAUUUUUCCCGAUUCCAUCAACUUUUGCUUGAAUCAGGUUGAUCAGGAACCCCCAUAGUAUUCAUCUUUGGUUGCUCUUGGGGUACGACAUUCUGUCGGCACCUCCCCUGCCUGAAAGCACUUUUCACACCGACGCUUCUCCCUUGACAGCAUAACCAAUUUGCGGUCGUAACCGCGUAACCACUACCAACUAAAAUCCCCAUCUCCCUUAGUGUUAAAUGGGGUAUUUUGAUAAGGGAUGGACUAUUAACCGUGUUAUCACUACCAACAAACUCUCUUAUCCGCAUAACUACUACCCUAAAAAUGACAUAUUUUACGUGUCGUUUAUAUAUAACGGUCAUGACAAAAUAAUUUUUUUUGUUAAAGAACACCAUAAUAAUAAAUAUCUCCCUUCCUUCAACAAAACACAUUUUUUUUCUUUUAACAUAACAAAGAAAAAAAUUAAUACCUCUACUUGUGUUAAGGUUGGGGGUAUAUAUAGUUGAUGGUGUCGCCACAUUUAUAGUAGGGACUAGGGAAAAAAUUUAAACAAUUUUGGACACACCAUAUGAAGUGGUGGCACCAAAAAAUUCCGAAAAUAAUAUUGGUGCCUCCACAUCUCAUGUAGUCAUUAUAGAAUGUUUUUUUACAAAUAUUGGUCACUCCAUGGAAGAAGGCGGCACUAAAAAACAAAUUUUUAUUCCAAUUUGGUGCCUCCAUUAAAGGAGGCAGCACCAAAAAAAUAAAAAAAUAUUUUCAUUUAACUAUGGAAAUACGAGUGAAAAUACAAAAAAUUUAUAUUGGUGCUGCCUUGGGAAGUGGCGGCACAAAAAAAUUAAUUUUUUUCAUAUUAUGAUUUUUGUAAUCAUAAAGCAAUGGUUAAGUUACUUUUUGGGGUGGUGAUGUCGUGGGAAGUGGAGGUACCCAUUAUUAUUGUAGAAACAAUGUCAUUUUUCUAAAUUACCUAGUACUAGGGUCAUUUUCAUAAUUUUUUUUAAUUUUUAUAGGUUAUUUAUCUAAACAAACCUGAGUUUUUUUAACUACUAUUUUGUUGAGUGUUGAUACAAAAUUUAGUUAAUCAUGGGCUAGGAUUAUUAAAGACACAUACUAUCUUUGGUAGGUAAUACAGUAAAACAAAUAUUCAAUAGUAGAACCUCCUCUUUAUAAGAUAUUAGAAAAUAAAGGUCAAACCUUAUUAUUAGUCUUUGUAUUCUGUAUAACUUAUGGAUUUAAUUAUUACAUUUUAAUUUGGUUAAAUUUAGUUUUAGUAUUUUUUUUAAAUUGUUCAAUUUUAAUCUUAAUUCUUUUUAAUUUUUGAAAUUUUAAUCAUGACUCAAAAGUAGCAAUUAAAUUUGUUUAGUUAAACUCUCAUAUUAGUCUUGUAGUAUAUAUAAAAUUGUAGAUUUAGUCCACGUUAACCAAUUGGAUCAUUCUUAGCUUAUACAUUUUUCUAAAUUUAAAAAUUUUACUCUUGAUACAAACAAUGUUAAAUCCAUUAAUUAGCUUCUUUGUGAGUAAUAUGUAUAAAUUGCAAGCUGACAUAAUAUUGCACAUAUGAUAAUAUGUUUGUCGCAUCAUAUUUUGGAAAGGCUUAACUAUAACAUUGGUUCCCAAACUAUAUUGUUUUUCUCAAUUAGGCACAUAAAUUUUUUUGGUUUAAAGUGGUACCUAAACUAUCAAUUUCGUCUCAUUUUAUUGAAAAAGUGUAAGAAGUCUAAUAAGAACAUGCCACAUAUCACGUUCUUAUUGGAUGGUAUCAUGUUUAGAGGGUAAAAUGAGACGAAAUUGAUAGUUUUGGUACCACUUUGACAAAAAAAUGUUUUUUUUUUUGCUCUUAAAAAAACUUUAGGUACCUAAGGGGAAGAAGUGGCAUGGUUUAAGGCUAAUUUUUUAUUUAAGCCUUUUGAAAAUAAUAGAACUUAAUGAAUUUAACAAAUACUGUUUGGCUAGGAUUGAAAUUUUAAAAUGGCUUAAACAAGAAAACGGUAACUAAACUAUACUAGUUUUCCCAAAUUGGUACCUAAACUAUUUUUUUUGUCAAAAUUGGUUCCUAAACUAUUAAAUCGUUACCCAUUUUACCCCAACUGUUAGUCCUGCUAGAAAAAAAAUUCAACCAAUCCCAACUUGCCACGUAGACAUUUAUUUAUUUUUUCAAAAUAUUAGUAAAACUCAUAAAUGCUUUUUAAAAUAGUUAAAAAAUUAAAACAUAUUAACUUAAAUUUAAACGACAAGUAAAAUAAAAAAAUUUCACUAACCCUAUUUCAUUCAAAAAAUUUGAGGAACCCUAUUUCAUUGAAAAAAAAAUUUAGCAACUCUCAUUCAAUAAACAAAAUUUCAGCAACGCACUUUACUUCAAAAAAUUCAUCAACCUUUGCAAUCACCUUCUGGGAACCUUUAAUCCCUUGUAGACUUCAACCCUUUGUAGAAUUGAUAGGAGGGUAAGUUUCAAGAACCAAUUUUUUUUACUUAAAACCUUGUUUGAUAGAAGAACUUUUUUUCUUCUUGGAUCCCUUGUUUGCCAUUUUUAUUAUUGAAACCUUUCUAAUUCCAUAAUUAUUUGAUUUUUAUUUUUGGCAAGCCAUAAAAUCCUAAUUGAUUUGGGCAAACCGAAUGAGUUGUAGAAAGGUAUGGUUUAGGCUUAAGCUAACGCUAUUUUUUAAUUGUUUUUAUAAUUAAUUUUUAUAAUCUAAUUUAUGUAAUUUUUUGGCAGAAAGUAGGUUCUUGAAAUUUUCAGUUAAAAAGUUGUAUUGGGUGCAGAAAGAAAAUUUCUUAAUUUUAAUUAUUCAUUGUUAAACCAUUAAUCUAUUUUUGUUAUUAUCUUUUUUUCCUCAUCUUGACUGAAUCAGUAUAUAUACCAAAUUACUUAACAAUGGGUUCUUGAAAUUUUAUAUUGAGAAAGUGGAACACACCUUUUAAGAGACAAAAGGCCAAAAAAGGUACCAUAUUUGUUGUAUAAUCUAAUUUAUAUUUUUUUUGCUAAUUAAUUUUGUUUAAGUAUGGUUUAGGUUGACUGUUUGAAAUAUUUGUUGAUUGUUGGUAAAUUAAUGGUAUCUUAUGUUUUUUUAAUUUACUUUUUUAAACUCAAGCUAUAGGGAAAAUGUCUCGGGUUAGUGUUGAUAGGGGUUCAAUUGAACUUGAGUUAAAUGGUGAGGGUGUUAGGCUUGAACCUGAGUUAGAGGGAGAGAGGGUUAGUGGUCCUACAAAGUUAAAUAAGGAAACUAUUGCUGCUAGUGAGGUUGAAGGAGUAAAUACUAAAAGGGUAAGUAGUGAUAUAAGUGAAGAUGCAAAUGAGGAUGAGGAUGAUAGUGACUUUCAAAGUAAUGAACCAAAAGAGGUAAGUACGGAAGGAUGGGUUAGUAAUGAUGAUGAUGAUGAUGAUGAUGAUGAGAUAGUGAAUAUUAGCAAUAAGUAUAGGGUUUUUAUAGAGAAAAAGAAAAAUAGGUCAGUGGGAGUUGAAGAUUUGGAGCUUGUUGUUAACCUAAGUGGCCUUCAGAAGGAUAAAAUAAGGGAGGUUAAUGGUGAGGGUAUUGGGGAUGAGACAGAUUAUAUAGGAUCUGAUGAUGUGGGUAGCUAUGAUUCAGAUUCUAAUGGUGAGCUAGUUUGUAGGAAAAGAAGGAAAAUUUGCUUUAAUGAGGGUAGUGUUGAGCUAAGAUUUAAGAUAUGAAUGAUAUUUGAGAGCCCUAAUCAAUUUAAGGAAGCCCUUUCAGCUUAUGCUAUCCACUAUAGAUUUGAUUUUAAAUUAGCUAGAAAUGAAAAUUUUAGGACAAGAGCUAAGUGCAAAGCUCAAUGAUGCCCAUGGAUGAUAUAUGUUGCCAAGGAUAAUGAGGAUGGAUGCUUUAAGGUCAAGACAUUUGAUAGUGAACAUACUUAUUCCAUAAUCUUGAAGAACAAAAAAGCAAAUUAUAAGUUCAUAUGGAAACACUUUUUUAGCAAGAUCAAGAUUAUCCAUAGGUUAAAGCUAUUUAAGAUGCAAAGACUAGCUAAGGAAGAGCUGAAAGUAGAAGUAAACAAGAAUGUUUGUCAAAGAGCUAGGUCUUGGGAUAUAGAACAUAUAAGAGGUAGCUUAGAGUACGAGUUUAACGAUUGAUUAUGUUUUUGCUUUGAAAAGUGUAAAUCCAAAUGGUAACUUUGACUUAUUAGUUGUGAGACCAAUUCCUACUGAGAACCCUAAGUUUAGGAGGUUAUAUAUUUGUUUCAGUACUCUAAAGGGUGGAUUUAAAAACUUUUGUAGACCAGUUUUCUCUUUAGAUGGUUGUUACUUUAAAGGGUCGUUUAAAGGAGAACUCUUAGCUGUUAUGGGUAGGGAUGGUAACAACAAAAUUUUCCUUUUAGCUUGGGUAGUUGUUGAGGCGAAGAAUAGGGAAUCUUGGGCUUGGUUCUUGAAACAUCUUCAAUCAGACUUGGAGAUGGGAGAUGGGAAAGGCUUCAUUGUAAUAAGUGAUAUGCAGAAGGUUGGAAAUUUCUAUAUAUUUUUUCUUUAUUUGACUACUGUUAUGUGUAUGAUAAUAUUAUAAUAAUCAAUUUUACUUCUUUUAAAGGGUUUUCUAGAAGAAAUGCCCUUGAUAUUACCACAUGUUGAGCAUAGAUUCUGUGCAAGACACAUGUAUGCAAACAGGAGGAAAGAGAAUAGGGGUGGUUAUUUACAUAAACUACUUUGGGCUUCUUGUAACUCAACAACUGAAGGUCUCUUUCAAAAAUAUACUGCAAGAACUGGUCAAUUAAAAGAAGUUGCUUUGGAAAGUUUGAUGAGGAAGGAACCAAAACAUUGGUCAAAAGCUUUUUUCAAAACUCAUUCAAAGUGUGAUGCAAUCAAUAACAACUUCGGUGAUGCCUUCAACUUCGCAAUUAUGAGAGCUAGAUUUAGAUCUAUCAUCCAUUUUUUUGAAGAUAUUAGACACUACAUCAUGAAUAGGGUAGUGCAAAAUAAGAAAAAGUGUGAAAAUUGGUCCAUUGAUUUAUGCUAAAAAAUAAGUAAAAAAAUUAAAGAACAUAAAAAUUUAAGUUCUUUUUGUCAUGUCUAUUGGAAUAGGCAAGAUGGUUAUGAGGUCGACUAUAAUGGGGAUACUUAUGUUGUAGAUAUUAGGAGUUGGAAGUAUACAUGUAGAUCUUGGGAUCUAAUAGGCAUUCCAUGCCCACAUGUUAUAUUUGUAAUUUUGUUUAGAGAACAAAGAGUUGAAGAAUAUGAAAGUGAUUAUUACAAAAGGGAUAUGUACCAAAUUUUAUACGAUUGUACAUUUCUCACUAUCCCAAGUGAGAAUUUCUAGAAGAACACUAGAAUGGGGUCGAUCGAUCCCCCUUUGAAAAGGAAGCUUAUUGGAAGACCCAAACAUAAAAGGAGAAGGGAAGAGGGUGAGACAUCGAAUAGAAGGAAGCUAUCCAAAAGAGGAAUGAAAAUGACUUGUUGAAGGUGUGGGAUAGUUGGUCGUAACUCUAAAACCAGUCCAACUCAAAACAUAUCAGUAAGCUUAUUUAAAACUUCUUAUUUUAUUUUAUACAUGUGGUUCUCUAAUCUUAUUAGACAUGACUUCAGUUACUCUUACCUUUCUUUGUAGCAAAUAGGUCAAAAUGAAGGAAUUGACUCACAACAGUAUCCCUCAACAGAGUAAUUGAUAGAUGAAAUGGUAUUGAAUGAUACAAACUUCACAAUUGUUAAUUUUUCACAUUUAUUCAACUCUUUUGUUGAUUUGUUCGUAGGUACCUCAGCGAACAAGUAGAAGGAAAGUUCGUACCUUAAGGAUGGAUAUAUCAACUACUUCUCACUCACAUCUUGAAACUAAAGGAAUGAGAAGUAAACCCUUUGGUGCAGGAGGGAGAACAAGAAUGCAAGACAUAGGCAUCUACACCAACAAUACAGCAGGAAUGCAAAUUCUUAAUGUAAAUGUCCUUAAACCCUCAAAACUUAAUUGUUACCACUUUGAUAUUGGUUUGUUUGAUUUAUAAAUUUUUCUUAGAAAAGAAAUCCUUUUUUGGCAGCCUAGAAGACGAGGGAAAAUGAUGAUAAAUAGGCCUCCUUAUUAAUCGCACCAACAUUCCCCCAAUUUGUUGCCUCUUCAACACUUACAUCCUCUGCUACUUCCUUAAUAUCUAAACCAUCUUAGCUUGUAGCCUCAUCAAGACUUGCACAACCAUCCUCAUCAAGCCAUUGGCCUACUUGAAAGAGACAGUUUGUUAGUUAGAUUGCAGUUGUGAAAUGCUCAAAAUUUGAAAUUUUUGGUGUUAUGUUCAUUUUGUAUUAUUGGAAAACGCCAAUGUCAACAUGUCAAACUUUGAGAUUUUUGAUAUUAUAUUCCCUUUAUAUGCAAUGUUAUUUACAGAUUCUAAUGCUUCUGUUGCCAUGAUUUAUAUCUUUUGACUAUUACUUCUUGGGGUAUCUGUGCUAAUAGAAAGUAGUGUAUGAUUCUUUUUUUUACUAUUAUACUUAAUUUUGUUUAUUGUCAAUUUUUUAAAUCAUAAAGAUGGACUAUUGAACUUUCAUACAUUAGGCAAAACUUUAAAAUCUAUUAAUCAAUUGUUCACUUUUUAAUAUGGUUUUUUUUUCUGGGGUAUGUUUCUGUCCUUCAAAUAAUUACAGUAUGUAAUUAGAAGCCUAUGCCUUUAUCAAGGCAAUAUGUUGAACUUUCUUCUCAUUUCUUGUGGAACUUUGGUUGUUUCUUGUCAUCACAUCUGCAACAGGGCUACUGUUAAGUAUUUUGGCAACUACAUCAACCAUACUUGAUCAUUACUUGCAAUGUAAUCCAACAUCUGCAAGAAGCCUGUGCCUUUCAAUGAGGUUUUAUAUCAAUUGUUAAUAAUUGUAAGUGUAAUUCUAAAAUAUUGCUUGUGUUGUUUCCCAGUAAAAGAAGAUUUCAAAAUAGUAAUCCGACAUAAAUAUGCUCAUAAACAUAUUUUUAAAAGCUAAAUCAUCUCAUUACAUUUCAUAAGUCCCAUAACUUCCAUUCCAUUCCAAAGUAAAUAAACAAUGUAAAAGCAUUACAAAUAAUUAUUCUACACUUUAGACCACAAAUUUAAGGACAACAAAAACUAUCCAUGAUGAAAUGAAAGCAACCUUAUAGAAGUACACAUCAUUCUUAGUCUUUUUCACCAACAAUUUAUACCCUCUUAAUUUUUCCUUUUUCUUUGGAAUGUUCCUCACUAACUUCUCUAUUUCAUCCACCUUUAUUAUUUUCUUCAAUUCAGCGUUCUCGAUUCUAAUUUCUCUAGUCUUAAUCAAUAGCAUUUGGAUUUGCUCUUCCAAUUCAUCAAGAUUUCUAUUGCCAUCUUGCUUUUCAACUCAUUUAAAGAAAUCACAGCCACCUUACACCAUUCAAAUAUACAAAUCAAUUUAAUUCGAAAAUAAAAUAUCUCAUUUUAACUAAAUAACAUCAUCAAACUAAACUUCAUAUCAAACAAAACUCAUUUACAAAAUCAACCCUAUAAUAUUAACAGUAAACAUUCAUUAGCCAAUUUUUAGAACAUCUCAAAUUCAGAACAAAACUAAAUUCCUGUCAAAUUAAGCCUUCAACAUAAAAACUCAUAGAUAUAUACAAUUAUCCAACAUUUAUUUAAUCCAAAUAUGGUGCGAAACUAAAACAAAAACAAAACAAAUUAAAAUACGUCUUUAUACUUUGAACAACUAUAGAAUUUCUUCCUUUUGCCCCAAGGGGUAUUUGAAGUAUAAAUCAGUGCUCUUAACCCACAAGAACAAUGGACAACCCUCAACCCACCAUGGCUUUUUAAGCUUACAAUCACAUCUACUACAUCCAGCCAAAUAAGAAAGAAAGAACCUUAAGUUUUUGCUCUACACCAAAAAAAAUAAUUCUUCAGUAAAACAAGAGUUUUAAGAAAAAAUUAGUUCUUUAAACUUACCCUCCUAUCAAUUCUAUAAGGGAUUGAAGGUUGUAAGAAGAUAAUUAAAAGGGUUGAUGAAAUUUUUGAAGUAAAAAGAGUUGUUGAAAUUUUUUAAACCAAAUAGGGUUCGUGAAAUGUUUUGGGGAUAUAUUGAAGAAGUAAAAUUUUACUUACAUUUAAAAAUGUUUUAAUUUUUUUAACUAUUUUUAAAUGAAUUUAUGAAUUUUACUAAUAUUUUGAUAAAAAUAAAUAGAUGUCUAUGUCUCAAGUUGGGAUUGGCUGAAUUUUUUUUCUAAUGGGAAUAACAGUUGGGGUAAAAUGGGUAACGGUUUAAUAGUUUAGGUACUAGUUUUGACCAAAAAAAAGUUUAGGUACCAAUUUGGGAAAACUAGUAUAGUUUAUGUACCGUUUUGUUGUUUAAGCCUUUUAAAAUUUGAAAAGUACAUGAUUAAUGGCCAAUUUAAAAUACAAGGACUAGAUUCACAACUUACAUAUAGUACAAGAACUAAUAACAAAACUGAUGCAAAAAGCCAAAACAACCCCAAAACAUUUAAUAAUAUUGUCAAUCAGUUGAAUUAAUAAGGAGGAGAAGGUUGAUUUGGUGGUGGUUCACCUUUGGUUGGGGCGGAGAGUUACUAGGUAUUCAGCUAAAGAAAUUUUUGAUGUCAUGAGAAGGAGAAUGAGGGUGGAAGGAGGAUGAUAUGUAUGUGCCUUGGCCUCUCUCAGGUAUUGAGAUGAGUAUAUAUACUAGGGGACAAAAAUGCCCACAUCCCUUGACCUCACUGACACUGAAGUUAUACCUUGUUCUUUUGCAGUGACGGUGAUAUGACAUCCUAUGAUAUAACCCCUUAGAUAUCUAGAUAAUCAAUAAGUUUGAAUCUCUAUGUGCAUCCAUUUACAUCUAAUGAGAAUAUUUUUAUAGAGGUUCACAUUCUAUUAUGGUUUGAGUUUCGCUAGUCUCGCCCAAUUAAAGGUUCACUCGAUGUAGACAUGUUAGGUAGUGACUUGCAUGUUGAAGACACAUAGAGGGGCAUGUGGGGAGGUGCAACAAUUGCCCCCCCCCCAAGUGAGGGAAGGUUAUAAAGUGACAUUUGUGAGUUUGUCAAGGUUGUUCAAUAAAGUUGGUGAGGUUGUGCGGUUCGCUUAUAGGGGCUGUAGCUUGGAAAAAGUCCAUACUUUUUUUUUUGGAAAUAUGAAAAUUAUGUUUAUGGGACAUUUAAAAUAUACAAUUUGGAUAUUGAAAAUAUUUUCAAAAUUAUUUAAACUAAAAUUUGAAUUUUAACAUUUAAAGUGGGAUUUGAUUUAGACUUGUGGAGGAAGUUUUAAAAGCAUAUACCGAAUUGACUGUGCUGAUUAACCAACGAUACCAAAUGAAAUGGCAUAAUCAAGCCACAUGUUUUAUUAUAAGUGGAUAAGUUAUAUUGUUUAUGAAGAGAAGUGCGAGAGUGAGGUGCAUGUUAACUUUGCCACUAUGUCUCAUGUAAACUGAAGAGUCAAACAUUCCUAUAUAAAUAGGUGACUUUAAAAAUUGUUUUUGGUUUCUUUAUUUUACUAUUUUUCUACUUCUCUAAAUUUCCUUUGUGUUUUUAAAUUAUUUUGUGUUUUCAUUCUAUUUUUCUUCUUCGAUUCUUACUUUAAUCUUCCUAUAGAUGGCUUGAAGAGUCUAAUCCUUAAAGUCACGAAAAAACUUGAGGAUAUGCUUACUAUGAAUGAAGAAUUUGAGUGUUUAACCACUUUAAAAGAGAUGUGGAAACUGUUAGAGGGUAGGGGAACUCAAUAUUUCAAUAAUUUUAAGUAAAUAUUUUCAAUUUUUAAGUGAACACACCAAUUGAGUGAGGUGGGGUUGAGGGAAAUUGAAUCACCCUAUUUUUUUAUUACCUUUGUAUGUGUUUGAAGAUGGUUUUCAUCUACCUUUUGCAUCUAUUUUUUUGUGGAUGUUUUAAACUCAUUUGAAGUUUCCCAUAGUUAAUUAAUGGGGGCUUCUUUAUGAUGUUGGUAGCUCGCAAAGAAACUAGAGCAAUACUGGAUAAUUUAAAGAACAACAUGCUCCUAGUAAAGGAAAAAUGCAUAAUGAUUGAGUAGAAAUACGAUGGUGAUUUUCCCUUCCCAAUUUUUUGGUGCAAGUUUAGCAACAGCAAAAGCACCUUGAAUUCGGAUUAACAAACAAAUGAAAAAAAAAUUCAAUUCAAACGAUUAUGUAACAUACCAAACUCAACUUGAUAAAUCGAAUCCAAAUCUUGGGCGUUACCGAUUUUAUGCAAUUAAAAUUUAGUUCUACUUAUACAAAUUGCAAUUGAAUACAACUGAUCAACUUUAAAAUAUCUUUAAGUAAAUGUGUAAGUAUAAACCAUGAAGAAAUCUUACUAACAAACAUCGAGGAAUUGUUACAAUUACGACCAAAUUGAGGCCUCAACCUAAUAUAGCUAUCCAGCGAAAAGGUUUCUAUAUAUAUAAAUAUCAACUUAGACUUGAUCUCGCCAUCAAGCUCGCUCUGUAUGUAUAAUAGCCAAAUAUUCCACUUCUACGGCAUAGCCGUGGCGUCGUCCCUUUAGGCAAAGACCCUAAAGCCACUUGAAACAUAACACAUAGAGAUAAGUUCAACGAAACUCGGUGAAGCAAACACCAUUUACCUGAACCAUACUUGCACGCCACAUUUAAUGUUUCAAGAAGUAUCUUGCUACUCUUAUUCUUCCUCAAGUCUCUAACAAAAGCUGCCUCUAUUUGUGUUACUUUAUUCAUGUUUGUUACCAUACAUUACUCUAAGACCAUUCCCUUCUCUUCAAUGCCUUUGAGACCUUACCUACAUUCUCCAUUCACCAGGCCAUAACUUCCUUAAACUUCAGGAAGAGAUCUAUACUCAAGUGAUCGAUACUUCCUUUCGAGUGCAUCAUGUUUACGUUUAUUUCCAGAAUACAUUCUCAUUACUUCGUUAUAUCUCUUAAAAUGUCCAUCUCUACACCAAUCUUAAUCAUAUUGUGUACCUUACCAUAAUACCCAAAGAUAAGUUUCGUACUUACUGAUCUCACUGUUUGCCUUUAGAAAUAAUAAUAAAUAUGCUUAUCAUUUAGUAUAGAGUCUGUAAAAAAAAAGUCCUUCAUGGAUUAUUCUUUGAAGCCUUCCCAGAACAUGCCAUAAGAGUAGAUCAUCUGGUGCGUGCUAUGAAAACUUUCUCUGUAGGAUCUACCAUAAAGGAUAGUCCUUCGUAACCCACCGCAAAGUUAUUUCUUUUAUUCUUUUCCGCAAAGGCUUUAAGUCCAGAAUCCACCUUUCAUAUUGUUCCUUCCUUAUUCAUCAAGAAUUUUAUCCCUUCAGAAUACGUCAUGGAAAUCAUUUCUUUCUUUCAGGGUUCGCCACAAAGGCAUUUCUUUUAGAAGGUUGCCGCAUGGGCCAUUCUUUAGAGUGCGCCAUAAAUGCGUCCUUUCUUCAUUUGCCACACGGUUUCUAUUUUUUAGAUCGCAACAAAGGCUUUCAUCUCUUAGAUCACCAGUAAGGCUUUCAUUUCUUAGAUCGUCACAAAGUCUUUCAUCUCUUAGGUCGCCACAAAGACUUUUAUCUUUCUGGUAUGUUUACGACAAGGAUUCGCCUAGACUCACAUUUGGUGAGGUUCUCCCCUCAUCAUUUUGGGUUAUGUGGAGAACCCCAUUAGCAGCUCAACAUCAUCAGCAGCAGAACAUGAAGUUAACCACAAUAUGAUAACACAGUCCUGAUAUAUAUAUCAAACAACCACAAAGAGUUUGAGUUUAGAACUCACCAACAAAAUACCUGAGUUGAUACAACUUACACCUGUUUAGCCUUUUCUUUAUCACUUGGACCUUGUUUUUCUUGGUCGGCUAAAUAUACAAUCGUAUAAAAAUCAAAAUGAAGAUAUACAUAUGUAAGAAAACUUAAUCCUUAUGCAUGCAGAAGAGUUAUAAAUGAUAUUUAUGAUUUAAACAUCACAGUUUAAAAUAAACUAUGUUGAAAUCCCCUGACUGUCCUUCCUUUUCUUAAAUCGAAAGAUGCGCAAGACUUAAAAAGAUUACUAGAUUGCUAAGUUCUCAAGUAUUUAUUCUACCACCUUAGAUUCUUCCUGUAACACCCCUGACCCGGCCUAGGAGUUUCGGCUAAGUUGAAUGCAUUACAUUCGAUCACCGAAGUGAUCUCGUAAAGCCAUUCUUUUUACUUUGAUUGAAAAUUAUUUUUUAGUUUUUAGGAAAAAUAUUUUUUAAUUUAAACAUAAUUUACCUAGUAAUUUAAUUACAAUAAUAUUAAUGUGAGAUUUUGAAAAAAACGGUUUAGGUUUUGAGGAAAAGAUUUAUUCAAAACUUUUAGUAUUUUAUAGAGCAACGGAAAUCAAAAGAUAAUUUUCUAAACCGAAUGACAUGCAAAUAUUAGAGUAAUAUUUAAAUGUCAUGCAUAAAUAAGGUAACAAAUUCCAAACCUAAGAUUUGUAAAAACGAGAAAGUACUAAAUAAUUACAAACUCAAAAUAAACGAUUAAGGAACAUUUUAAAUAAAACCUAAUAGUAGAACUUCAAUAAAAAAUAUGGCUUUCUAAUCCGAGGGUCCUUCGAUGCCGAUUCGAAACCUAUUUUUUGCAUUACCUGAGAGGUAAGGAAAAGGGGGAAUGAGCUUACAACUACUCAGUGUGAGACUAAUCUUUAAUCAUUAUAUAUAAUCAAUUGAACAGUAAAAUAUUUAAUUCAUAACAUAAUAAUAAUUUAGGCAUAAUAAGAGGAACAUAUAAUAAAUCAAUACAUAUAUAGAAUAUAAUUAUGAUGAACAUGUAAUAAAUCAAUAUAUAUAAUCAUUAUAUAUUGAUGAACAUGUAAUAAAUCAAUAUAUAUAAUCAUAAUAAGGGGGAAUGAGCUUACAACUGCUCAGUGUGAGACUAAUCUUUAAUCAUUAUAUAUAAUCAAUUGAACAGUAAAAUAUUUAAUUCAUAACAUAAUAAUAAUUUAGGCAUAAUAAGAGGAAAAUAUAAUAAAUCAAUACAUAUACAGAAUAUAAUUAUGAUGAACAUGUAAUAAAUCAAUACAUAUAAUAAAUCGAACCGCCCUAGAGUAUUGCUCGACACACCAUCUCCCUUAACAUAUAAUAAUAACUGGCCAUGGUCAUUCACUAGUCAUCUGUGACGGUGACUAUUACUACCACCCCGGUUUGGUCUAACUUUGAUGGUGUUUUAAAACGACCAUCCCGUCUUAUCCGGUUUAGAUGGUUUUACACAUAAACUAUCAUCUCGGUUGACCUAGUUUGGCGGCUUUUUAGCUUACCAUCCUAGCUUAUCCAUUUUGGAUGACAUUUUCGCCUACUUCGUGCAGUACUGACUUUCGGUGUGGACUUAAAUUGCCACUGUCUCCAAUGGGACUCUUUCGUCCUCUAUUCCCAAUUUCAUGUAAUAUGCACAUAUACUCAUCAUAUCAUACUCGUUAUCAAAAUUUGAUACUAUGCUUAUUUAGCACAUUUAUUGUCACAAAUUAUUAUCAAAUUCCAUGCAAUCAUGUAUUCAAUCAAUCUCACAUAUACACAUAUAUUUGGUGUGUGUACAAAGAAUAACAAUGAUGCAUAUACAAGGGUUCGCAUAAAGCAUACAUAUAGUUCGCACAUAGCAUGUAUAUGGUUCGAAUAAUUAAAUAUGUAUAGCUCACCUAUUAAGCAGUUAAGGUUCCCAUAUAAUUUCUAUGGGUUCACAUUACAAUUCCUAUAGUGUUCGCAUGAUAUUUCCUCUAGGUUUGCAUAUUAUAUUAUUCGCAUAACAACUCUUUUAAUUUCCUAACACUACAAUUAAUCACACAUAAUGUUUUAAGUUUAGAUCCCACACCUGAUUUGAAGACUUAAAAACCUUAGCUUUAGAGAGAUUGAUGAUCUACUCAAGAAAAGAGAGAUGGUUUUAAAUUCCUUGAUUGAAAACCGAUUUAACAAUAGAAGAGAAAAAGAAAGAACCCAAGAAUUUGAAAGAAUUUUGCAAUAUGAGUUUUGAAGGAAAAAUAGAGAAUAAAUAGAAAGAAUGAGGAUAAAUUCUAUUAGAAUUUGAAAAGGAGUAAUUUGAAUUCUAGUUAGGAUAAGAAGAUAAAAAGAAAGCUAUGGACUUCUAUUUCUAUUUGAAUUUAUUUAAAAAAUAGAUAUAAUUUCAAAUUAGGAUAAAAAGAUUACAAAAAAUAUGGAAUUUUAAUUCUAUUUAAAUUUUAAAAAAUGAUAAGAUAUGUGAAUUCUAAUUAGGAUUGGAGUGAAUUUCUAAGGUUUAGAAACGUUUGGGCAUUACUACAAUUUUUCAAAGCUAGAAGUUGGUCGAAUUAAAAGGGGGAGACGCAACUCAAACACAAGUUUAAUGGGAGGGUUGGGGCCUUAACCAAUGGGUUAUUGCCCAAUUCUUGUUUGAUUUUUAUGCUUAAUUAUUCUUAUUUCUUUUUGCUGGAGACUUGGCAAAUUUUCAAAAUAAAAAGGAAAGAUAAGAUUUGAAACUGGGAUCACAAGAGGAAAAGGAGAAUGUUUUACCACUUAAACUAUAUCUUAUUUCAUAUUUACUUUAGUCAAUUAAUUGUACAUAUCAAUUUAGGGCUCAACUUACCUAUUCUCUAUUAGUUUAUAUAAUUACUCAAUUUUUUUUAAGCUUCUUUAACUAUUAUAGUUUUUUUUAAUACUCCCUUAUUUUAGUUUAUAUAUAAUUAUUAAUACACAUAGUCAGGACUCACUAUUAAUAUUUUAUUUUACCUCUUUUCCAAUUAGGUCCUAACACAAUUAAAACUCACUAUUUCCAAAUUAAACCUCGCAAUCUAGUUUCGUUCUAAUAAAAUCUGAUUAUAUUAUCUUAAUACUUUAAUUAAUUUUUAUUUUAUAUUUUUUUACCUUAAUUUUUUUAUAUUCAUUUCAACCCCAUAAUUUUGUAAUCUGAUUAAUCUAACUCCCUAUAUUUUGGGAUGUGAUACUUCCUUUCAUGCAAACCAUUUCUUAGUUUUCCUAUCUUACAGAAAGAACUAGAAAAGAAGAUAGAAAAACAAAAGAAAAAUGAAUAUCAGUAUGAAAAAUCCUUCCUAUAUAUAGUCUUUUUACCACCGCUUCCCUUAAUCCUAAGUUAGUCAGUAUUAUUAACACCCUUAAUCAUAAUGUUUCUCGCUAAUAGAAACUCUUAGUUCUAAUUUGACGAAACUAAAUUUAAAAUCUAACUAUUUACCCAACCAGGCCGUAAGGUUCACAUAAUUACAUUAGAACUCGCUUAAAUAGAAAAUUUUCUAAUUAAGUACUCAGAAUUUCAAAUUUUCCAAAUCUUUAAUAUUUCUGGGUGUGACAAAUAGUAUUUUUUAAAUGGAGAAUUAGAAGAAGAAAUUUAUAUGAAACAACUUGAAGGUUGUGUUGUUUUAGGUUUAGAAUUUAAAGUUUGCAAACUUCUCAAAUCCUUAUUUGGUUUAAAACAAGCUCUUAAACAAUGACAUGAUAAAUUUGAUCAAACUUUAGUAAAUGAUGGUUUGUCCUUUGUUGAAGUUGAUAAAUGUGUUUAUACAAAGUUUGUUAAUAGUGAUUGUAUAAUAAUAUAUUUAUAUGUUGAUGGUAUGUUGAUCUUUAGUACUAAUUAUGAGUUAGUACUCGAGACAAAAAGGUAUCUUGCUUCCAAAUUUGACAUGAAAGAUAUGGGGGAAGAAAAUGUUACAUUGGAUGUCAAGAUCACAAGGAAAUGUGAUAGUUUGAUGUUACCACAAGAACAUUAUAUUGAGAAACUUCUAAAUAAGUUUGGACACUUUGAUGUCAAAUCAGUGGGUCCUCCUUAUGAUACUAGCUCUCAAUUGGAAAAAAUAAAUGUGAGCCUAUUGCUCAACAUAAUAUGCACAAACUAUUAGAAGUCUGACUCAUUUAAUAAAUGUAUGUCGACUAAGAAAAACUCAAAUCAUAAGCAAUGGGAUACUAUAGUUAGACAUGUGAAAUAUAUAGAGACUGUCGUGAAUUAUGGUAUCUUAUUUAAUGGGUUUCCCACUAUAUUAGAAAGAUACAAUGAUGCUUACUGGGUUUCAAAUUCAGAUGAAUAAAAUCCACUAGUGGUUAUAUGUUCACCCUUGGUGGUGGUGCAAUAUUGUAGAGAUCAGCCAAACUAUUAUAGCAAAAUUUAUCAUGAAGUUUGAGUUUCUUGCUUUGGAAUCAACUGGUAAUGAGCUUGAGUCGUUGAAAAACUUCUUAGCAAAUAUUCCAUUGGGCACACAGCUAAUAGCUUUUGUGUCCAUGCAUUGUAAUUUCCAAUCAACAAUAACCAUUGCAAAGAAUAAAACUUUCAAUGGAAAAAAUAGACUUAUUCAUCUAAGACAUUAUGUGAUUAAGAAAAUACAAAAUGGAGUAAUAUAAAUUGUUUAUGUGAAGUCAAAGUUGACUUUGGUCGAUCUUUUUACUAAACCCUUGGGAAAGAAACUAAUAAAUGAAACAUUGAGGGGAAUGGGACUACUGCGAAAGGAUGAGGUCAACAAUGAUGGAAACCAACCUAUGUGAUUGGAGAUCCAUCAAUUAGGUUCAUAUGGGUAAGAACGAAGUCAUUAGUAGACCUGUUAAGAACUAUAAAACUAUGUCUCUCCUAUUGUGCAAAUAGUGCUAAAACAAAAACUACAUGGAUGGUGAAGAUGAGUAAAAAAUCUUAAUCAAAUCCAUAUCAUUUAUAGGCAGUGUAUUGAUUUGCAGAAUACACUUGAUGGAUUGAUCUAUACGAUUGUGAAGUAGGACCGAUUCUAUGAGAUUUAUGACAGAAUUUCUAGAGCACUCAUGAAAGUUAAGCACGCGCAUGACCUAGUAGCACACAACCACGCUGAAGAACGAAUCAUAGAUAGAAUAUGAUAAAUGGAAAUGUUAGUUUACAUAAUGAAUAAUUGGUUCAUACAAACUUGUUUCACCAAUUAUUUAAUAAAUUUUAUCUCAUUUGUCAAAAGUUCUAGUUCAUAGUCUAAAGGAUACCAAGAUUAUUGCAUUGUAUCGAAAUACGCAACUAAAAUUCUUUCAUAAUUCUUUGAAAUAUGUGAGGGAUUGUUGGGAGCUUUUAUGUAUUUCAAAGAAUUCCACAAUCCCAAAUCUUUUAAAGAAACCUCUUAAGAUGAUGUUUUAUAACAUUGCUUUACAUUGGACCUAUAAGAGCCAAAACAAGAUGGACACGUGCGCACGAAAGGUGAGCCCAAAAGCUCAAUUCAAAUUAAAUAGGCUGAUUUCCCCUGCGCAUGAUACUAGGCCCAAUUAUGGCUUUGCACUUCCAACUCACUCAAGUUCUAAUAUCUUUCAUCUUUUCUUUUAACAUUGUGUUUUCCUCUCCUCUCUUGACACUCUUUGUUUUUUUAAAGCUUUUUUCUCCCUCUUUCUAGCUUAGUAUUUAAUUGAUUAGUUCUUCAUGCUCUCUAUUUUCCAACGAUUGACAAAAGUGGUUGUUGAAUAUUGGGGGAAACACUACACGACGAAAUAUCCUUAAGGAAAGUGUCCAACAUGUCUCAAGUUAAUCAACUCAUAUUCUUGGUUCCUUAAAUUGAUGAAUAUUUUACAAAAUUUUUCACAUGUUUAGUAUAUGAGUUAGCAAUAAACUAAUUACAAUCGGUAAUUUUUAGCUACUCACAUGACUUGUUUCAAUUUUUUUUUGAACAUUAAUCUCAUUUUAGGUUUUUAUUAUAUCUGUUCUUUUUUAUACAAUGCUUAGAACUAGUCAUAACCCCUCCUCCCCAACCCUUAAAUAGGAAGAUGAUACGCUUCAGCGCACUCAAAUUUACGUCCUCCUACACUGACAACAAUAUUGAUGCCAAUCAAGUUAAAAGCCAGUCGAGUUAAAACUCAAUUGACUUCUAUUUUCAAAUUUAAAUAUGUUCUAAUCAUUUUUUAUUUUAUAUCUAGAUAUUUUAAUAGCUAUGUAUUAAAUAAGUUUUUUUACCGUCAUAGAUUCUUAGUGAACUUUAUAUAUAAAGUAAACUUACGUCGUAAUGUCUUGGCAAAAAGGGAAAAAGAACUAAUAUCGUAAACUUUAAUUUAAGUAUAUCAAUCUAAUUAUAUAUCACUUUUUAUUACUGAUAAAAACCAUGCAAUUCAAGUAUAUAUAUUACAUAUAUACACAUCAGCAACACGAGAGAGAAGAUGGAUUUCUUCUUUGAAGUGUCAUUGUUGUUCUAUCUUCGUCUGCAAUUUGUGUUGUUAGGGUUGGUGGCCUAGGAUGGGGACCAUUUUAAUAAGCUCCUAUUCUCAUGAUGUGCAUGCAAAUCAGUCUAUCCAUUUUUAAAAAAAAUAUAUUUUUCUAACUUUUUUGUUGAAAAAAGUAUAUUAUCUCACUUUCCUCACUAAUCUAUCCCUUAUCCAUUUACAGUUGGGUGCAUGCACGAAUCUGUUGCACCAUAAAAUAAUAUUACUUGAUAUGGAAGUGUUGAUGCAAGAUGUCGCGUCAGAGGUUGGAGGAGAAUUACACAAUGUGUUGAAUGACGCAAAUGAUUGUUUAGCAAUGGAGUGAAAGCUUGGAGUCUUCUUAAUGGUGGAAAAGAUCGCACCUUCUAGACCAAUGUCAUACUAUGUAGGGUGAGUUGGAGGGUGAUGCAGAGCUCUAUUAAGAUGUAAUGGGAUGUACCGAGUUAUACUAUGGUAAUAGAAUUAUGGGGUUUUUAUUGCACGUAAAUUUGAAUGUAAUAACAGUCAUCUUUGGAUAAAUAUUAAUAUAAUUUAACGGGAGUCUACAUGAUAAAUAUGUAAAAUUUUCAUUUAAGAGAAUCUUUAUAUGGACGAACUCUUUCCUAAUUAAAGUGGUUAACCUAAUGAGAUAUCACGGACGGAUGAUAUAGAUAUAACAUGAAGCAAUAGUACUAUAUUACUCUACAAGUUGAUAUGAAGAAAGGUUUUGUUUUAAAAUAAAAAUUGAUGGAUAGAAAUGCUUCCACGCCUGCCUCUCUCUAUAUAAAACCUUGCAAGCAUUGAAUCCAAUGGCAAUGUAUAUUAUAUAAAAAUUAGACAGUGAAGGGUGCUCGUGAAUCCUCACGGGGUUGCAAUAUUCCAUACCUUCUUUAAACGGCCAAAACACUGUCUCAAUAUGGAUUGGCCAUCUUUUUAUUUUAAUAAUAUGCACGUCCUUCCUCCUCGUGUAUGUAUUCUUCCCCCCAAUAUAACAUUUGACCUCGCUAUCUUCCCUUUCCAAAUCUCAGCACAACCAUUUCCCUCCUAGUGGUACAAUUUGCUAAUUAAUUUAUCAGGUUAUGAUGAGAAAAGAAGUGAUUCAAUCUAAAAAAGAAAUAAAGGGAAAUUAGAUUACAGAUAUUUUAGACUGUAAAGUGUAAAAUUGAACAGCUACAAGCUCUAUAUAUAGUCUUCCAAUUCAAAACCCUCCUCACUGUUCUCUUUUCCUUUGAUAGCAAAUUUCCAAACCAUUAAAGAAUUUUCAAAUCCCUUCUCAGCCAUGGUAUGUUAUAUUACAAUUAUACAUUAUUUACUUCUUAUUACAACUAUCAAUUAGAUAAGUGGAGUUGAUUUUGGGUCACAUCAUUUUGAAUCAAUUUUAAACUUUUUAAAAUAAUUUCGAGUUUGCAUUGUUUUUGACACUGAUGAUUUGAGUUUAAAUUUCUUGAUUUUCAAGUGAAGUCAUUAUAAAUUUGAAUCAUUUUAGAUAAUUAAAAUUAUUUUAAGUUCAUCAAUUCACAAACUAACUCACUUUUUAAUUGAAAUUUAAAUUAAUCAAGAUCAAGUAAGAGUUCAAAUGUCUUCUUCUUAUAAGUACAUUCAAAGCUUAAUUUUCCUCAGAAUACUGAGCAAAGGCAUCUCAGAAAGGUGGUAUCUGAUGUUACUUUGGAAAUGGAGAGGUAUAUAAAGACAGCAUCUUCUUCAACAGAAAUUGACGAUGAGGUGAAGCAAGCCGAAUGCGAAUGUUGUGGGCUCGAAGAGGAUUGCACCGCCGAUUACAUCAGGAGAGUGAAGGGUCGGCAUUGCGGGAAAUGGGUGUGCGGGCUGUGCUCGGAAGCUGUGAACGAAAGGCUGUACCGAAGUCCCAUGGCAGGCACGGAAGAGGCAGUGAGGUGUCAAAGGGAGUUUUGCCAGAGAUUCAAUAGCACCACGCGGCUCAAUCCCAAGCUGUCCCUCACUUGCGCCAUGAGGGAUAUAGCUAAAAGAAGCAACCAGAACCGAAGCUCCAACACACCAAAUAAGAUUGGCAGAAGCAAUAGCUGUGUCCCCAAGAUCAAUCUUAAUAACCGUUCAUUUUAAACUUUACCAACUAUAAUAGUACCGUCAAUAAAUCAUAUAUGGGUUUAUUUUUAAAAUUUUUGGAUUUUACCUACGAAGUUAUACAUCUUGUGUUUAUUUUUACAUACAUAAAUAAAUUAUCCAAAGGGUUUAAUACACAUUUAAUAGUAUCAAUUUUGUUGAAAAUUACUAAACCUUGCAUAUCUAGAAAACUUAAUUUAACAUGUAAUUUCCUUUUGCGGUGAAUAUAAUUAGUAAGAGAGUUUAAGGGUUGUUUAAAAAUACCACAAAGUGAUAUUUAAGUAAUUGAAUCGAGGAGAGCUUUAUUUAUAUCUCAUUUCUGACUCAAAUAAUAUUAAGAGAUAAAUGCAUAAAAAAAAAAACUCAUGGUUAGGAAUGGGAACCGGAUGAUUUUUUGCAUGCCUUAAUCUUCACCUAAUUUUCACUUAUAACUACUUCAAAUUGUCUUCUCCCAAAUGAUUUUAUAAAAUGGUAAUAAAUAUAUAUAUCAAGGGGGUUACCUAAACUCAAUUCUGACGUAACUUCAAAAUUUUGAAUGCAGCCUACCCAAACCCGAAUUCAAAAAAUAAAACUAACCCCAUAGGAUUGGAAAAUUGUAGUGUGUGCUUACCUAAAUUUUGAUAUAAUUUCAUUUUCCCUGCAUAGAGCUCAGCAAAGUGGAACUGUUGACACCAUUUUUUUUUUGAUAAAACAGGAUCGACUUGGAUUUUGAAAAUGAAAACGAAUAUGGGGUUGCCACCAAUCCUUUUUGAUGAAGUGUGAUCGGGUCACCUUAGAAAAUGGCUAUUUUUAAUAAACGGUUCGAUUUAUUAAAAUAAUGCUUUUUGGUCUACAAAAUUCAAAAAAACGGGUUCGGGAGUCGGUUACGUACGAGAAAGGAUUAGCACCCUUGUAACGCCCAAAAUUGGUACCUAGUUGAUUAAUUAGUGUCUUAGUGUCGAGAAUUGAAAACUUUGAAGAGAUUUGAAAUACGAUCCUUGUAUUUAAAAAAAUUUGUAUAAAUCAAAUUACAUGUUAAGACCCUCUCAUUUCGGAGAGAGAAAAUGUCACACCCAAUGAGUUAGGGCAUGAUAUUCCACAUCCUCAAAAAUGGGCUUGUCAUUAAAAAAACUCAUAUAAUAAAAUUCAAAAGGAUAUUCAAUUGUUUAAGUAAAAUGAAGAAAUCGUAAUCCAAUACGUUAGGGCACAAUUUCUCAAAAUUCUAAACAUUGAAUAUUGCCUUUAUUUUUUUUUUUAAAAUUCUCACCUCAAGAAAACAACGUUUUAUAUCCAAUGUGUUAGGACACAACGUAUUGAAUUCCCGAUAAUGAGAUUUUUAUUUAUGUUUUUUGAUUAAAGAGCAUUCUUGAUUAUUUAGAUUCAACGAAGAAAAUUGGAACCCAAUACGUUAGGGCUCAAUCCUCUCGAAGAUCCCAAAUACCGAGUCUUGCCUUUAUUUUCAAAAUUUUCUCUUUUUACGAAUUUGAGUAAAAAUUAGUGUAAUGGAAUAACAAUGAUGCUAAUGUAGGUAAAAUAACACGAGCAAAAACAAAAGAUAAGUAAAUGAUAAGGCCAAUAUAUAAAAAAACAAUCACGUAGGCACAAUAACAAAUAACAACAGAUAAAAACUAAAGCAUAAAAAAUAAUAAUAACGGACAUGUAAAUAAAUUAAUUAAUUAACAAAAUGAACAAAAUUAUAAAAAAUAUAAAAGACAUAUAUAUAUGUAUAAAAUUAUGGAAAUAUGAAAAACAUGUGUAUGUACACAUAUUCUAAAGCUAUUAUACAUGGAAAUAUGUGUAAGUAUGUAUGUACAUACAUAUAUACGUAAAUAACAAUCAUAAAAUAUAAAAAAAAUAUGUGGGUAUAUAUAGGAAUCAUAAAAUAUAAAGAAUAUAUACAAAAUAUAUAUAUAUUAGAAGUAUAAAGGAUAUGUAAAUAUAUAUAUGUAUUUAAAGUUAUGAAAUGUAAGAAAUAUAAAGGUAUGCAUACAUAUAUAUAUGUGUGUGUUUAUAAAAAUCAAAACCUAUAUAGAUAUGUAUUUAUUACGUAUAUAUAUAUUGUAGAAUAUAUAAAUAUAUAUAUGAAAUAUAAAAUAUAUACAGAAGAAAAAUAAAAUAUAUACAGAAGAAAAAUAUGGAUUGUAAAAAGAAUAUGUAUAAGUACAUGUAUAUAUACAAGUAAAGUAUGAAAAUAUGUGUAUAUAUGUACAUAAAUUAAAAUGUGUAUAUAUAUAAAUUAUAAAGUAUAUAUAAAAAAAAGUAGGUAUAUAUCAAGGAUGUAUAUUUAUAUAUAUGAUUAAAUCUAAAAUUAGAUGGUAAUAAUAAUAAUAAUAAUGAUAGUAAAAGAACAAAAUAAAAAAAAUUAGGGGACAGAUUUUAAAAUGACAUAAAAAGAUAAUAAAGGACUAAAGUGAAACGCGCGUCAAGAAGGAGGGACUCAUCGCGCAAUAUCCCCAUUCUUUAUACGCAUCAUUUUGCUCAGGAUUGGAAUAGAAUAGAUGCAAAAAAUGGGGUUAAAUUGAAAAUACUAAAAAAAGGGGAAAAUGACCAAAUUGAAGCCAAUCAUAAAAGCGGAGGGAUCCGCAGCGCAAAUAACCCAUUCGGUCUUGAAACGCUCGGAUCCUCUGCUAAACGGGUCGGGUCGCUGGUCGGCCUCCCCAAAACGACGUCGUUUUGCGUCUGGGGAGGCCUCCCAAAACGCUGCUGUUUCGGCUUUCUAUUUAAGGCCCCUUUUCUUUAUUUUUUUUAUUCAUUCCUUCCUCAUUAAAAAAAACUGCAGAACUCUCUAAUGCUCUCCAUUCCCUCCGACGAUCGGGCCUCUCACCGUCGUUCGCCUGUCCGCCACACCGCCACUAAAUCGACAGCUGACGAAGCAUGAGAAAGGGUUUUUAAAGCCUGGUUCUAGGCGAGCUGUUGGGUCGAGCUUUUGAGCCCCACAAGGACCGAGACAGAGGCCCACGACCCUACCUCUUCGAAUCUGGUCUCGACAACGGAGAUCCGCCCUCCAACGGCGGUCACGGGGCAUCCGGUAAGUCUCUUCCUCUCUUUUUAUCUCAUUAUCUAAUAUAAAAAAAUCAAAAAUAAAAUAAAACAAGAUAAAAAAAUGAAAAAAAAAAGCUUAACCUCUAAAAAAGUCUUUUAUUUUCUGAUGUUCUUAAAAAAAGAGAACCCCUUACAUGCCACUGAUUUGGGCUUUUAUAGCCGCUUUAUACAACAUUUUGUUUCUUUUUUUUUUUGCCCUAUUUUGCUUUCUAUUGUUGCGUGUUUCCUUCUCUUUGCAGGUAAUUGAUGGGUGGUGGCAGUGAGUAGGUGGAGCAGAGGGCAGACAAUGGGACGUGACAUGCGGCACACAUGGUCCUGGUGUGCAGCGCUGGAGGAGGGACUAGGGUUAGGGUUUCAGUUAUGUUUUACUGAAACUUAGUUAAUGUUUUGGGCCGUCGGACUUUGGGCUUGUAACUUGGGUUUUUUAAUUUGGGCUAGUAUUGCAAUGUGAACUGGACUAUUAUUUGGGUUUUAUUAUUAUUUUUUGUUUUGAUUCUUUGGCCCCGGGCAAAAAUGGGCCUUUACAGCUGCCCCUCUUGUCUCAUUCUCAUGUAACGAGAAUGGAGCAAAGGCUUCAAAAGGGCCAAUUUUGCCCAGUCUCACCGAGUCUUGACUUCUUCUAACGCUUCUCUUCUUCAAGUAGCCUCAUUCCAGUCCACUGUGUCUUUUCGCUUCAAUCCACUCAAUUGCACUUCAGGGAGAUCUAACUUGUAACUUCAAUCUUCUUCGCAGCAACUUCAGGAGGACGAGGUUUUGGUUUUAGUCUGCUCUACUGCAAUGUCAGGGAGAUAAGACUUGUUGCUUCAAUCUGUUCCACUACGACCUCAAGGAGAUAAGGUUUGAUAUGAUAAGAUUUAAUCCGACCCUCUGCGACUUUAAAGGUAUAGGAUUCACCGUUUUAAUCCGCUCCACUGCAACUUCAAGGAGAUAGGACUGGACUCGAUCUGCUCUACUGCAACUUCAGAGAGAUAAGAUUGGUGUCUUCAACCUGUUCUACUGUAACUUUAGGGAGAUAAGGUUUUCAAUUUCAACAUGCCCCACUGCAACCUCGGGAGGAUAAGGUUUGAUAUGAUCUGCUUUACUGCAACUUCAGAGAGAUAAUAUCUGCACUAUAUAGCUUCAAUCUAUUCCACUGCAAUAUCAGGGAAAUAAGAUUCGCUAACUUCAGUCUGCUCUACUGCAACUUCAGGGAGAUAAGACUCGUGGCUUAAAUAUGCUUCCCUACUACUUUGGGAAGAUAAGAUUCGUCGUCUUCGAUCUGCUCCACUACUGCUUAGGGAGACAGAAUCUGCAAUCUUCAGCCUACUCCACUGUUGCUCAGGGAGAUAAGGACGAUGCUUUCGAUCUACUUCACUGCCAGUAUAGGAAGACAAUAUCUACAAUCUUCGACCUACUUCACUACUGCUCAGGGAGAUAAGGCUAGUGGCUCAAAUCUACUUCUUACUAUAUUGGGAAGAUAAGAUUCACAAUCUUCGAUCUGCUCCACUACUGUUUCGGGAUAUAAGAUCUACAAUCUUUAACCUACUCCACUGCUGCUCAGGGAGAUAGGACUGGUGGCUUAAAUUUGUUUCCUACUAUCUCGGGAAGAUAAGAUUCGUAGUCUUCGAUCUGCUCUACUACUGCUUAGGGAGAUAAGAUCUACAAUCUUCAACCUACUCCACUACUGCUCAGGGAGAUAGGACUGGUGGCUUAAAUCUGCUUCCUACUAUCUCGGGAUUAUAAGAUUCGCCAUGUUCGAUCUGCUUCACUACUGUUUAGAGAGACAGGAUCUAUAAUCUCCAACCUACUCCACUACUGCUCAAGGAGAUAGGACUGGUUUCACCAAUCUGUUCUUUGGGGAACAUGACCUGUAAGAUCCCUUUCAUGGGUCUAUUUAUGCCUAGUGAUUAGGAUGUUAUGAUAGGAAUGAAUCAAAAUCUCCUAACUAAAUGUGCAUGCAUGAAUGCAAAAUGUCAUGAAAAUGAUCUUUUCAUGUUUGAGUUGUUAUUGCUCGUUAUUCAUUAAGGCUUUAUUACCAACACGUCCGAACGUCAUCUUGUUUAGUUGGUAACACUCACAUCUUACUUAAUCGGAUUGCCCCCACUGUAAUCUUCAAGGUUCAAUCCACUGUAAUCUUUAAGGUUCAAUCCACUGUAAUUUUGGGACAUAAAAUUUGAACCAUCCUCCUCCCACUGUAAUUUAGGAUUAUAAGAUCUAACUCUUUCUCAAUCCUCUCCCAUUGCAAUUUAGGGAUACAGGAUCUGAAUCUCCUUGGUCUCCUACACAAUUCCCAGGGUGCCAUACCAAAUGUUUAUGCACAAUUGUAAAACCUUCUCUUCUGAGAAACCUCUUCUUAUCAAUCGGUGAUCACUGCUUGUUUGUUCAUUGAAGCUUUAUCACCAACACAACAUCUUGUCAUUUUGUUCAACCAAUGUUUUGACAACAAAAUUCGAAAGGGUAGUCUUAAUUUAAACUUUCCUUCUUAGACAUUUCAACCUUUAAACUUGGUGCGUUCUAAACAAUAGUCCUGUUUCAGGUUCCUGUAUUAUUUAGAAACUUCUAGGGUAAUAUGCAAAACUUCCCUUGUGAAAGUAUUAUUAGUCCAUUAAUCACUAAUCCAAUGCAACAUACUUGAAAAAAGAUCAUAACAAUGGAUAAAAAUGAAAUUGAUUUAGGAGCAUAACUCGAAAUGAAUAAAUUAUCAAGAAUAAAAGAGGAAUUGAUUGGGAACACGUAUCUUGAAAAAGAAAGAAGUAUUCCAAGAACAACAAAUUCAAUAUAAAUAGUAUGAAGAUUAGGUGCCCCAGAUAUCGCAGCUUGAAUUUCUCUGUAAAAACUUUUUGAAAGACCAUUCUGAGUUUGAUAUGUGUUUAGGAGAUCUAUAAGACUUUGUCAAUGCCCCAAGAUGUCGCUUACCCUUUCCUAUUGAUUCAGGUAUAACAAGAUCACCAAAUGCCCUAAUCUAAUCAAAAUUUGAGUUGCUCUGAUCACCUCAUGCCCCAUUUUGAUCCAAAAUUUGAGCCGCUUUGAUCACCUCAUAUCCUAUUUUGGUCAAAAUUUGAGCUGCCCUUUUCAAGUUUUCAACUCAAAUCCCCUUUGGUCUCAAGGCGCCCUUUACGGGUUUUCACAUUGGCUUCUGCUUUUCUUUUUCUUUUCUUUUCUUCUUCUUUCUUUUUUAUUUUUCUUUUUUUUUUUGUUUUUUUAAACAAUUUUUUAUUGAAUCUGAACUCAUAGGAUUAGGCAUGUCCCCGUUAUCCCUUCCGAUCAAGAUUGACGCUUUUCCAAAUAAAGCCUUCCAUAUAAGGUCCUUUCCAGCUUGGCAUAAAGUUCUUUUUGUAUAGGAAGGAUCUUCUUCAAUACCAGGUCUUUCUCUUGGAAUUCUCUAAGGCGAACUUUUUUUGUGAGCUCGCAUCAUUUACUUUUGGCUCAUUUGACCAUGAUGGAUAACUUUCAACAUUCCUCUUCAAUCGGGAUUGGAUCAAAAAACUCAGAGAGAAAUAAUCUUUUCUUCAAUAGGCAAAACCGCGAUAGGCCCAAAAGAACGGCAUUACCACGGCAGAGUUUUUUUUUGUGUUUUACCUCCAAUGCUCUGUUCACUUUGGGACAACAUAGUGUUAUUUUGAAUAGCCUACAAACUUCUGAUAUCGUGCUAUUGUUCCGGUUACAAUGUCGGUGCUUAACCCGGGUAUGACUAUGUGAAGAUAUCUUUGAACUCUUGAAGUAACUCAAUAAGGUCUUACUUCGUUUCUUUGGUUAUGCAUGUUCUAAUUUUUACUAUUUUUCCCUCCUCCAAGGUCACAAUCUCCAUUGUCUCUUCAUGAGGUAAAAUUUGUUUCUCUUCUUGUUUUAUCAUCCACAACAAGUCUGAAAAUAGGCUACAAUCUAUGUCAUCUUCAAAAUCAUGAGAUCCCUCUAAACACAUGUCUCACUCAAAAGGCGGAUAUCUAGCAAGGUCCCUUCUUCAGUUGCUUUUUUCUUUCAUAAAUAACAUUGGUGUGAACAUUUCCCAACUUCUUCAUGUAUUGUAUUCACUAUAUUAUCAAUCAUGAUUGGGUAGCAGAUUUUCUGCACUGGAGGAAUCAUCAAAUUUGAUAACGCCCAUACUGAUAAGCCUUUCAACCACUUUUUUAAAGGUAAUGCAAUUUUCUAUGGAAUGCCCCGUAAUUCCUGCAUGAUAAUCACAUUGCGCAUUUUUUUCGUACCAUUUGGGGUAUGGAGGUUGUAAAGGCUUCAAGUAAAAAGGGGAGACAACAUGUGCGUCAAAUAAACUCUCAUACAACUCUCGAUACGACAUUGGGAUUAGUGCAAAUUGAGACUUUUCAAUGUUUUGCUGUGUGCCAGAUUCUUGUCUUGGAGGGAUCUGAUGGCCAGAAGUAACCAUCCUUGGUUGGCUUGCGGUAAUCAGCUUUGAAUAACCCUCGUUAUACCUACUUGCAUCAUUCACCUCAUUUUUCCUCUUCCUCGAGGCAUUCAAAGUAUUGAUUUGAGGGCUCCACUCUUGCCCUUUCCAUUUGUAACGAUCUACAAAUUGUUUUGAGAGCUCCACUCUCGCCUGUUUUGUUCCCGCUAUAUCAUUAAUGACAACGAGAUUAAUUAGAUUGCCCCUAAGGUUAGAACUUGAGCCUGUCGAGAAAUUCACCGGUGUCGAGGUACUGGUCUGGUAUUGUGGUUGGAUGUUAAGAGUUACCCUUUGUGGAUAUGUAUUUGGUUGUGCUUGGAUGUUUGUUGAGGUAAAGCCUGAAAAAUAAGUAAGGCUUUUAUUAUCAUUUCCAAAAUGGACCGCUGGGUUUUUUCCUUUUUCUAACCCCAUAUCCAAUAACUGGGUUAACUGGCUCAUCAGAUUUCUUUGGACUUCUAGCAUCUGAUCAUUCAUAUCUGGUUAGAAUUUGGUCAAUUGCUAUUGCAUCUGUAUUUUUCUUUGUUCUAAUCUCUCCAACCUUUGGUCCAUUCUUUUAGUUUCUGUUUGGGUAGCGCAAGGGUGUUUGUUUGGUAGGUUGGUUUCCAUUGACUUUGAAAUGAUUUCGUUUGAUUAGGGUAUUUUAGUAAAAUUUGAUGCAUGGAAUGAAAUGUAAUGCAGAUGCAUGAAUGCAAAAAAAAGGCGUUGACUCUGAUUCAAUUCCAUUUAGAAAACUUUACUAAAAAACAAAUUUCUUUACAUAAAACGGAUGCAUGUACGACCUUGCCUUCAUACUCCAAGAAACAAUAUCGAUCCGAAUGAAUCUCACGAAAUGUCACUACUAACUCCUUCUUGCUUGAUCCUGGUCCUGAACCAUAGUCUACCCAUCCUCGUAAUGCUCAUCAGCUCAUUUAAGGAAGUCAGAAUGUCGGAGACCCUCAAAUAGUUAGCUUGAAUCUUCGGGCCACGAAGUAAAGUCAUGUACUCUUUCAUCACCCUUCUUUUGAUGUGUUUCUUGGGAUAUAUUCGGGCAGCCAUAUUAUCUUCCACUUUAUCAAGAAAUUCAUUUUCCAUGACAAGCUUUCUAAUUUAGUAAUCAAAUUUGAAUCAACACCUUUUUUCUAAGAUGAAAAUGCAAUGCAAUUAUAACCAAAACAAAACGAAACGGGUUAGUACAAAGCAAAAGCAAACAAGAAAAAUAGAGUACCUAUUUGGGUAACUACUAAGGGUUUGAAGUGGCUCUACCUAGGGUGGGCUCCUAAGGUCUUCUACAUGUAGUUUGGUUCUAAAGUAAAGGUACCCGAACCAGCAGAUUCCUCGAUCCUCACCUAUUAUAGGCUCAUACGGACCAAGUUCAGUUUAGAGGAAUAUAUUUCCCUAUGGCUGCACGGAGAUAAAAAUCUCACGAAGACAUACGGAUGUAUCCCGAAAGUAAUCUGCUAUCUUGCACGGAGGUGAAGACCUCACGAAGGAAAUAACUUCUCACUCCCACUAAAAAGGAAAUAAUAAAGCGGUUAUGUAAUGCAAUAUGCAGAAACAUAUCAAAAAUAUUCAAACCAAUAGAGUAAUUACAAACCGAAGUAAUAAUCGUAACAAAAUGGAUGAAAUACAACAAAAUGAUCGUAAAUUUAAACCAAGUUUUCAGGUGACCUCUAGGUAUUUGGUGUGGUUCUACCUAGUGUAGGCUCUUAAGGCUCAUUAUAUGCGGUUCGGUUCUAAAGUAAGGGUACUUGAACCAGCAGAUUCCUCGAUCCUCACCCAUUAUAGGCUCAUACGGACUGAGUUCAGUUCAGGGGAAUACAUUUCCCUAUGGCCAUGCGGAGAUGAAAAACUCACGAAGACAUAGGUACGGAUGUAUCCCGGAAGCGAUUCACUAUCCUAUGCGGAGGUGAAAACCUCACGAAGGCGUAGCUUCUCACUCCCACUUAAAAGUUGUGACCCACGGCUAUGCAAUGCAAUAUGUGAAGAUAUAAAAAAUUUAAAAUAUCAGACAUGAUGAAAACUCAAACUCAAAAAUAGAUAAAAUGUAAUGAAAGGAUCAUAUAUUAAAAAUCAAAAUUUCAACUUUCAACAAAAAGACAAAAGUUAAUCAAUUUAUGGUUUGACUCUUUUAUAGUCCCCAGUAGAGUCGCCAAGCUGUUGACACCAUUUUUUUUGAUAAAACGGGAUCGAGUUGGAUUUUGAAAAUGAAAACGAAUAUGGGAGUCACCACCAAUCCUUUUUGAUGAGGUGUGAUCGGGUCACCUUAGAAAAUGACUUAUUUUUAA